AGUGAACGCUGGCGGUAGGCCUAACACAUGCAAGUCGAACGGCAGCACAGUAAGAGCUUGCUCUUCCGGGGGGCGAGUGGCGGACGGGUGAGGAGUACAUCGGAAUCUACUUUUUCGUGGGGGAUAACGGAGGGAAACUUACGCUAAUACCGCAUACGACCUACGGGGGAAAGCGGGGGAUCUUCUGACCUUGCGCGAUUGAAUGAGCCGAUGUCGGAUUAGCUAGUUGGCGGGGUAAAGGCCCACCAAGGCGACGAUCCGUAGCUGGUCUGAGAGGAUGAUCAGCCACACUGGAACUGAGACACGGUCCAGACUCCUACGGGAGGCAGCAGUGGGGAAUAUUGGACAAUGGGGGCAAGCCUGAUCCAGCCAUACCGCGUGGGUGAAGAAGGCCUUCGGGUUGUAAAGCCCUUUUGUUGGGAAAGAAAAGCAGCAGGUUAAUACCCCGCUGUUAUGACGGUACCCAAAGAAUAAGCACCGGCUAACUUCGUG
RNAcentral lists this ribosomal RNA (492 nucleotides) under uncultured bacterium. Its description in RNAcentral is "partial 16S ribosomal RNA". It matches the Rfam family "Bacterial small subunit ribosomal RNA", at positions 29 to 507 of the family's 1533-position model. The record is from RNAcentral.